This 466-nucleotide ribosomal RNA is filed under the name uncultured bacterium. RNAcentral's name for it is "bacterial SSU rRNA". It matches the Rfam family "Bacterial small subunit ribosomal RNA", at positions 330 to 794 of the family's 1533-position model. The record is from RNAcentral.
CCCAGACUCCUACGGGAGGCAGCAGUGAGGAAUAUUGGUCGAUGGCCGCAGGGCUGAACCAGCCAAGUCGCGUGAGGGAUGACGGUCCUAUGGAUUGUAAACCUCUUUUGUCAGGGAGCAAAGGGCGCCACGUGUGGCGCUUUGCGAGUACCUGAAGAAAAAGCAUCGGCUAACUCCGUGCCAGCAGCCGCGGUAAUACGGAGGAUGCGAGCGUUAUCCGGAUUUAUUGGGUUUAAAGGGUGCGUAGGCGGAAUAUCAAGUCAGCGGUAAAAAUUCGGGGCUCAACCCCGUCGUGCCGUUGAAACUGAUGUUCUUGAGUGGGCGAGAAGUAUGCGGAAUGCGUGGUGUAGCGGUGAAAUGCAUAGAUAUCACGCAGAACUCCGAUUGCGAAGGAAGCCUGCCGCAGCGUUACUGACGCUGAAGCUCGAAAGCGCGGGUAUCGAACAGGAUUAGAUACCCGAGUACA